Perca flavescens (yellow perch) is the source of this 1908-nucleotide non-coding RNA. The record is from the annotation of a RefSeq genome assembly. NCBI's taxonomy places the organism in Eukaryota, Metazoa, Chordata, Actinopteri, Perciformes, Percidae.
ACAGUUUAACAUGAUGGACUAUAGGACAGGACUGCUGCUUUUAACUCUCUGCUGGGCAGGUGUUGAUGGUCAGACUCUGACAGAAUCUGAACCAGCGAUUAAAAGACCUGGAGAAUCCCACAGAUUGACCUGUACAACAUCUGGAUUCACAUUCAGCAGCUACGCUAUGAGCUGGGUCAGACAGGCUCCUGGAAAAGGACUGGAGUGGAUCGCUUUUGUACACACAGGCAGUUCUCAUCUCUAUUACUCCCAGUCAGUCCAGGGGAGAUUCACCAUCUCCAGAGAUGACUCCAGCAGUAAACUCUAUCUGCAGAUGAACAGUCUGAAGACCGAGGACACAGCAGUGUAUUACUGUGCCAGAAUAGCGGACGGUGCUUUUGAUUACUGGGGGAAAGGCACAAUGGUUACAGUAACAUCAGCCACUCCAACUGCACCAGCUGUGUUUCCGCUGAUUCAAUGUGGUUCUGGGACCGGAGACAUCACUCUUGGCUGCCUUGCCACCGGCUUCACACCCUCCUCACUGACCUACGCAUGGAACAAAAAUGGGGCUGCCUUGACCGACUUCAUUAAGUACCCUCCGGUGCAGAAAGGCAACGUUUAUACUGGAGUCAGUCAAAUCCGAGUGAGCAGACAGGACUGGGACGCAAGGGAGACUUUCAAAUGCGCCGUGGAACAUGCAUCAGGACAGCCACAAGAGGUUAUUUUCCGAAAGAUAGUGGUGCCUUGUUAUCCGCCAACCCUUAGCGUGUUGGCCUCCUCUGAUGAGGGAACCGAGGCUUCCUUCUCCUGCUUUGCCAAAGAUUUUUCACCAAAAGAUUACGAGAUCAAAUGGCUGAAAAAUGAAGAAGAAAUUGUCAACAAAAUAAACGAGAUCCAAACACGUUUUGAGGGAAGAGUGGAUGAUAAUGGAACUGCAUACAGCGCAGCAAGUUUUCUCACGGUGAAAUCCGAAGAGAUGCCUGCAAACACCCAGGUUACAUGUGAGUUUAAAGGGAAAAGUGGAGCGUGUCCUACAAAGAUCAAUUCAACUGUUAUCUACCAACCAAAGCUUCAAAUUGGAGAUGGAGCAUGUCUUGAAAAAGAUGUGGAGAUAGAUAUCAUAGAACCCACAAUGGAGGACAUGUUUUCAGAAGGAAAAGGAAACAUAACAUGUCAGGUCAAGAUAAACAAACCAUCCGUCACUGAAAUUUCAUGGGAGACCCACAAUGGAAAACCAAUACAUGGUGCUUCAGUAUCACCCCCACAAGGAAGUAAAGGUGUAUUUAGAUCUUCACUUCCCAUCACUUAUGACGAAUGGAGCAAGGGGACAAAGUUUGUCUGCAUAGUGAUACAUGACAAUGUGGUUGAUCCACUUAAGAAAACCUACGGAAGGACUGUCGGAGGACAGAUUCAGCGUCCAUCAGUGUUUAUGCUACCUCCACUAGAACAAACUAAAAAGGAAACGGUGACCCUGACUUGCUAUGUGAAAGACUUCUUCCCUCAGGAGGUUUUCGUUUCUUGGCUUGUUGAUGACGUAAAAGCAGACUCAAAAUUUAAGUUCCAUACCACAAACCCUGUAGAAAACCAAGGAUCCUAUUCUGUUUACAGCCAGUUAUCUCUCACCCUUGAGGAGUGGCAAGACAGUGACAUGGUGUAUAGCUGUGUAGUUCACCAUGAGUCUGUGGUUAACACAAAUAAAGCUAUUGUCAGGUCCAUCGGGCACAGAACAUUUGAAAAAACCAACCUGGUCAACCUCAACAUGAACAUCCCUGAAACAUGCAAGGCCUAGUAGACGUCAUUCUGUGUCGCUGUGUCUUCUGCUGUUUGUUGUUUAAUGUUUGUUGCUUGUGAUUUGACAUUGUGUUUGUCUUUUUAAUGCAGAUUCAAAAUAAAAAAUAAAAAAAAGCACUUUGCAACUCUGUUGAUGUA